AUACGGAGGGGGCUAGCGUUGUUCGGAAUUACUGGGCGUAAAGCGCGCGUAGGCGGCUUAUCAAGUUAGGCGUGAAAGGCCUGGGCUCAACCCGGGAACUGCGCUUAAUACUGGUAGACUUGAGUCCGGGAGAGGGUGGCGGAAUUCCCAGUGUAGAGGUGAAAUUCGUAGAUAUUGGGAAGAACACCAGUGGCGAAGGCGGCCACCUGGCCCGGUACUGACGCUGAGGUGCGAAAGCGUGGGGAGCAAACAGGAUUAGAUACCCCAGUAGUCC
Molecule: ribosomal RNA, 274 nt
Filed under: uncultured bacterium
Lineage: Bacteria
Description: partial 16S ribosomal RNA
Rfam family: Bacterial small subunit ribosomal RNA
Source: RNAcentral